CUUCCGGAUUUCUGAAUGCGUAAGUAUCCGUUUCACUUUCAAUCAAAACGAAAUUAGAGGAAUGCCUGUUUAAUGAGACGGCAAGUCCAGAACUGGACGCGUAGAUCCCGGAGCGUUCGUAACAAUGGAGUUUCGGGAGCGGUCAUUAGCCGGACGGACAAGAACCAGAUAAUAACAAUAAUAAUGGGCAGCAGUCCAAAACAUCGCGGUGGAAAACUGAAACUGAAGAAAAGCGAGAGUAAUAAAGAGGAAAAGCAGCGGCGUUAACCUAACCUUCUUUUUUGUUCGCUUCGGAAAAGUUCGAAAGGAAAGUUUGGAACGCUGACGAGGACGAGGGUUUGACAAGAGGAAAAGGGAUCGCUGCUAUUUUUCCGCCCCAUCCCGCUUGCCGAUCGCGCCAGGAAAAACGUGCGGCGGCAAGGACAUCUAGAUAAAGUGGAAAGUAGGCUGGCGGGCAAAAGGACCCAGAUUGCAGAUCCCUUGAUUGAUUUGGGAUCGCUGUGAAAAGCUGGCUUCCAUUGACAGACAGACGGGCACUUCAAGGACCUGAGGCUUCUCGAUCGGGUUAUUUGCCCAGGAUCUUGCGAAAUCCCAAGAAAGGAUCUGCAGUUCAAUAGGUGAUGCAGAACACAGCGAAUAAUUGGAUCUGG
This is a long non-coding RNA of Drosophila ficusphila, 650 nucleotides long. RefSeq lists it as uncharacterized. The record is from RefSeq and is a predicted model, not a curated record. Lineage: Eukaryota; Metazoa; Arthropoda; Insecta; Diptera; Drosophilidae. The transcript has 3 exons.